AUUGAGGUUCUUUGUAAGAGAGCCAUCUUAUGAGUGAGAGGCAUCAGACGCUAGCUCAGAUGAUAAGACGUAGCAGCUGUUAGCUUUUAGCUUCUUCAAUGUCUUCCCUCUCAUAGAUGAGGAGAUGCGGAAAAGACAGAAUAUAGAACCUAAAAGGAUAAUGGAAGUUGUUCGUCUUUGAAUCCGAAAGUAAGAACUUGUAAAUAAGGUGUUAAGCUAUUGGCAAGAAAGAAAGAGGUAUUAAAUACAAUUACCUUAUUCAACAAAUGAAUGCAAUCCAUGACAAGUCGCUCAAAUAUUACAAGAAGUUGGAGGAAAACCUCAAAGCAACGACAGAGAACCUUCAAUUGGUCAAUCAAAGUUCAAAAGAAGUCUUUUUCAGAAUUUAGAACCGGUGUUCUGGAAAAUUCUAUGGAGGUAUUCAAAGUUUCUAGAAAAUAGUAAAAUCUUUAGUUAAAAAUUUAUGUCUAACUGAUACAUGAUGUGAUGUGUACAAGUUAGCGGUCGAUAGUUUAUCAUAUAUCAGAAAGAAAAGGCUUCAAAUCAAAUUAAAGAUAAUUAAUUAAAUAUGCUAAUUUAC
Molecule: long non-coding RNA, 580 nt
Filed under: Phoenix dactylifera (date palm)
Lineage: Eukaryota; Viridiplantae; Streptophyta; Magnoliopsida; Arecales; Arecaceae
Description: long non-coding RNA (PDAC_LNC021196)
Source: RNAcentral